RNAcentral lists this ribosomal RNA (497 nucleotides) under uncultured bacterium. Its description in RNAcentral is "partial 16S ribosomal RNA". It matches the Rfam family "Bacterial small subunit ribosomal RNA", at positions 28 to 507 of the family's 1533-position model. The record is from RNAcentral.
GAUGAACGCUGGCGGCGUGCCUAAUACAUGCAAGUCGAGCGAACAGACGAGGAGCUUGCUCCUCUGACGUUAGCGGCGGACGGGUGAGUAACACGUGGAUAACCUACCUAUAAGACUGGGAUAACUUCGGGAAACCGGAGCUAAUACCGGAUAAUAUAUUGAACCGCAUGGUUCAAUAGUGAAAGACGGUUUUGCUGUCACUUAUAGAUGGAUCCGCGCCGCAUUAGCUAGUUGGUAGGGUAACGGCUUACCAAGGCAACGAUGCGUAGCCGACCUGAGAGGGGGGUCGGCGGCACGAGAACGGGGACGCGGUCCAGACUCCUACGGGAGGCAGCAGUAGGGAAUCUUCCGCAAUGGGCGAAAGCCUGACGGAGCAACGCCGCGUGAGUGAUGAAGGUCUUCGGAGCGUAAAACUCUGUUAUUAGGGAAGAACAAAUGUGUAAGUAACUAUGCACGUCUUGACGGUACCUAAUCAGAAAGCCACGGCUAACUACGUG